AAGAAAGAACUAAGGAACUGCUAACUCCUUAUACCCCAUCUAACAAUGUGGCUUUCUUA
This 59-nucleotide transfer RNA is filed under the name Mammut americanum (American mastodon). RNAcentral describes it as "tRNA-Ser". Lineage: Eukaryota; Metazoa; Chordata; Mammalia; Proboscidea; Mammutidae. The record is from RNAcentral. RNAcentral also lists the same sequence under 1 other name.